Molecule: long non-coding RNA, 699 nt
Organism: Episyrphus balteatus (marmalade hoverfly)
Lineage: Eukaryota; Metazoa; Arthropoda; Insecta; Diptera; Syrphidae
Exons: 3
Source: RefSeq, a predicted model, not a curated record
UUCUGUUCUAUGGUAGAUAUAAGAAGCUUAAAUUGAAAAGAAUCUCCACAAAUAUAAGUAUGAGUAGGGGAAUUCCACACACACACAUUGAUUACCGAAAAGAACAACUAGAUAGCGGAUAUUAGAUCGGAUGAUGCUUAGCGUGUGUGAGGAAGAAUGGAAAAAUAAAUGAGAGUCAUGGUGGGGGUGGAUAACUUGGUUAUCUCCUUUGUCGAGGAGAAUUGAAAUGUCAUUUGACAAGUGAAAACCAAAGGUGACCGUUCAGGUUACAACAUCGAGGAAUAACCAUGUUCCUGAUGUAGAAAAAUAAAGAGAUUUAAAGAUUUGAUCUUUGUUGCGUUUUUUUUGUGAAGUUCAGACAGAGGGAAUGAUUUUCAAAUAAAUGAUGGAUUAAAUACUGGAAUAUCCCAAUUCUCAAUGACUGUGAAAGGCGGUCCCGGUUACCUGUGAAGUACUGGGACCGCCACACCGUAAAACUUCAUGCUGGAAAAGCCCACCAAUGUUUCAGCCACAGAUCCAAGAAAAUUUUCAAUAGAUGUCAGAAUUAGGGGAUAACACGUUAUUGAUUCGAUUAUGGUGAAGCCCAAAAGAAACGAAAUCACGAGCUGCCUUAAAGAACCCCAACUAUGAAGAGUUGAACGCGAGCUAUCAGGGUGUCUUAGAAAAAGGCAUUGAAAGUAUUCUGUAAGCCAGACGGCG